This 460-nucleotide ribosomal RNA is filed under the name uncultured bacterium. Its description in RNAcentral is "partial 16S ribosomal RNA". It matches the Rfam family "Bacterial small subunit ribosomal RNA", at positions 338 to 795 of the family's 1533-position model. The record is from RNAcentral.
CCUACGGGUGGCAGCAGUGAGGAAUAUUGGUCAAUGGCCGGGAGCCUGAACCAGCCAAGCCGCGUGAAGGACGACUGUCCUACGCAUUGUAAACUUCUUUUGUCAAGGAAUAAAAUCAGGCACGUGAGCCUUUUUGUAUGUACUUUAUGAAUAAGCAUCGGCUAACUCCGUGCCAGCAGCCGCGGUAAUACGGAGGAUCCGAGCGUUAUCCGGAUUUAUUGGGUUUAAAGGGUGCGUAGAGGGGUUGUUAAGUCAGGUGUGAAAGGCUGGGGCUCAACCGUAAAAGUGCAAUUGAUACUGGCAGCCUUGAGGACAGUAGAGGUAGGCGGAAUUCGUGGUGUAGCGGUGAAAUGCUUAGAUAUUACGAAGAACUCCGAUUGCGAAGGCAGCUUACCAGACUGGCACUGACGCUGAGGCUCGAAAGCGUGGGUAUCAAACAGGAUUAGAUACCCGGGUAGUC